CAAUAGCGUAUAUUAAAGUUGUUGCGGUUAAAAAGCUCGUAGUUGGAUUUCUGUUGGGAACGACCGGUCCGCCCAUUGGGUGUGUAUCUGGCUUGUUCUCGGCAUCUUCUUGGUGAACGUUGCUGCACUUGACUGUGUGGAGCGCUACCCAGGACUUUUACUUUGAGGAAAUUAGAGUGUUUCAAGCAGGCAUAUGCCUUGAAUACAUUAGCAUGGAAUAAUAAGAUAGGACCUCGGUUCUAUUUUGUUGGUUUCUAGAGCUGAGGUAAUGAUUAAUAGGGAUAGUUGGGGGCAUUCGUAUUUAACUGUCAGAGGUGGAAUUCUUGGAUUUGUUAAAGACGGACUACUGCGAAAGCAUUUGCCAAGGAUGUUUUCAUUG
Molecule: ribosomal RNA, 379 nt
Filed under: uncultured eukaryote
Lineage: Eukaryota
Description: partial 18S ribosomal RNA
Rfam family: Eukaryotic small subunit ribosomal RNA
Source: RNAcentral